This is a microRNA precursor of Bos indicus x Bos taurus (hybrid cattle), 60 nucleotides long. NCBI's taxonomy places the organism in Eukaryota, Metazoa, Chordata, Mammalia, Artiodactyla, Bovidae. The record is from Ensembl.
GGAAGGUUCUCCAAGGAAGACUGUGUUGCAGUGGCCAAAAAGUUCGUUUGGGGUUUCUCC